CAAACUUUUAAAAGUAACUUUAAACCAACUAUAAAAAAAUAAACUGUUACAUCAUGCAAAGAAAUAUUAUUUAACACUAAAAAUAAAUUAGUUACAGAUCAUGAGAUGACAUGGAAAUAUCUUAAAGGCUUAUUACUAAGUAAAAUAUUUUGAGUCAAUUUGAGAAGGCUUCAUAUUGUAUAAUUUCAACUCUGUGAUGUUCAGGAAAAGGCUGUGUGUGUAUGGGGAAGAGGUACAUGGGAAAUCUUUGUACAUUCUGGUCAGUUUUGCUGUAAAUCUAAAACUUCUCUCUUAAAAAUAAGUAUAUUUUCCAGUAAACAUAUCUUUAACACAGAAACUCACUCAAAGUUUCCUUAAGGUUUUCAAGGGAGAGAAAACAAAGCUUUGUGCAUUGAAUUUGGCUCUGGGCAAGGCAGAGAGGGGCAUUCCUCUGGGAGUACAUGGUGGUCAGUGGCUGGACUCCAGGAGGGAAUGACUAGGCUGGUGCUCAGAACCUUGUUUUCCCCUGCUCACUCACUAAUGAGUGUAUACACUGGAUAGACAGAUAAACCAAGAAGAAAAUUCACAUUUCAGGGGAAGUAUUCUUACAAAAUGCAGUAGAUCCCUGUAAUCAUUUGGUCAAAGGAUAUAGAUAUUCUGAAUCCCAGAAAUUACACAGGGAAGAAAUGUAGCAUAAUUUAAAAAUGAGUUCUUUAGUGAAUUUUAAAAGACAAGUAGUUAAGAGGAUAGUUAGUGUAACACCCGAAGUUUGGAAAUCUGUGCUUUAUUUCCCCUGUAAAGCAUUCUCUAAGGCUUUUCAAAAGUCAAGAAUGACAAGAGAAUUCUGGCCAUGAGCAGCCACUCUGUUAGCAAGCCGGCUGGCUACGAAGAGGCUUGAUCUUAUCAAGGUGGAAAUGGAAACUCUCAGUUCCCUUUUGGUGGCUUAUGACUUGGUAACUUGGUCUAUAUCCCCCCAAAACCUAAAUUGCAAGCAGAAAGUAUAUUCCAGGUAAUAAUCCACUUACCCCUGGGCACUCUGGUCUUUGCUUGAUAUAACUGAUUCCUUGUGUUUUUCUCUCCUUGGAGUCAAAAUUUACUUAAGGGACUCCGGUGGUGACCUUGCUGUACCCCAGGAUUCAUAGAAAUUUCAGAAUGCAGAGUUUUCACCUUUGACUCAUAGCUGUCUUUUUUUCUUUGGAAAACAGGCUGAGAACAAAUUUGUCAGACAUAACACUCAAGCAUAACUCCUUUAUGAAUCUCUUAAACAUUGUGAUCAGGUGUUAGAGUUGUAAACAAGUCAGGAUGGCGCCUGGCAUUUUGCCAGGAAAAUGUUAGAGUUCAUAAACAAGUCUGGAUGGUGCCUGGCAAAAUGCCAGAGGGAGUGGUUUGAGAAGUAACAAAAGCGAGCCAUUAAGUGUGGAGAUUCCUUAUUGGUUGACUGAUGUAUCUAGUUUAUGCUAAUUAGAUAAGCUGUGUGGAAUGUAUAAAUACUGCUCCUGUCCUGCAAUAAACGGCUUCCACUCCUGCUGCAUCAACGUACACAAGUUGUUCAUCAUCCCCCCGGUUAUUUUGCUGCAGCCGGACUGCGGCAAUCAGGCAGCUCAUAAAGCUUUGGGUUUUGUUCUUUCUUGAAAGUCUCCUUGGCUCUUUAUUCAAACAAACGUCUACAAGGCAGUUCUGUGCAUCUUCCACAUCUGCAGCAAAGUGUGUGAACCCAAUUUAGUUGAAUAAUUUCCCAAGAAGAGUCUCAGCUUAAUGGAUAUAGAGCUGUAUUGGGCUCUGCUAUGGGUUUACCAGGUUUGACCAAAAAUACAUAAGCUCUAGAAAUGAACACAGAGAGGAAAUCGUCAAUGAUUGACACAGUAUCCUUUAACAUGUAUAAACAAGGACAAUGCUCAAAAAAGAUUUGAACCAGCAGUGCCUGCCAUGGGUGCUGGUUUUAGUCCAUUAUCAAACCUGAUCAAGGACAUGAGUUAAUGGUGGAGGCUUUGAAGCACAAGGUGAACACUCCUCUUUGAUCUAUGUUGACAUCACUCAAUGCUCUAAGUUUGUUUGUUUUUAAAUUUUACAUUUAUUUAUUUUGUUAUACAUGACAGCAGAAUGCAUUUCAAUUUAUAGUACAUAUAUAGAGCACAAUUUUUCAUGUCUUUGGUUGUACACAAAGUAGAGUCACAUCAUUUAUGUCUUCAUACAUGUACUUAGGGUAAUGAGGUCCAUCUCAUUCUACCAUCUUUCCUACCCCCAUUCACCCUCCCUUUCCCUCCUUCCCCUUUGCCCUAUCUAAAGAUCCUUCAUUUUUCCUAUGCCCCCCCCAUUCCCCAUUGUGGAUCAGCAUCCACAUAUCAGAGAAAACAUUUGGCAUUUAUGUGUGUGUGUGUGUGUGUGUGUGUGUGUGUGUGAUUGGCUUACUUCACUUAGCAUAAUAUUUUUCAACUCCAUCCAUUUACUUGCAAAUGCCAUGAUUUUAUUCUCUUUUAAUGCUGAAUAAUAUUCCAUUGUGUAUAUAUACCACAGUUUCUUAUACAUUCAUCUACUGAAGGGCAUCAGUUUGGUUCCACAAUUUUGCUAUUGUGAAUUGUGCUGCUAUAAACAUUGAUGUGGCUGUAUUACUGUAGUAUGCUAUUUUUAAAUCCUUUGUAUAAAUUGAGGGUUGGGAUACCUAGGUCAAAUAGAGGUUCUAUCCCAGGUUUUAUAAAUAAUCUCCAUAGUACUUUCCAGAUUGGUUGCACCAAUUUGCAGUACCACCAGCAAUGUAUGGUAUGUGCCUUUACCCCACAUUCUU
RNAcentral lists this long non-coding RNA (2761 nucleotides) under Marmota monax (woodchuck). The record is from RNAcentral. Lineage: Eukaryota; Metazoa; Chordata; Mammalia; Rodentia; Sciuridae.